RNAcentral lists this long non-coding RNA (1236 nucleotides) under Homo sapiens (human). Its description in RNAcentral is "HSALNT0287059". Lineage: Eukaryota; Metazoa; Chordata; Mammalia; Primates; Hominidae. The record is from RNAcentral.
UAGGCUGAACUUAUGUAUGGAGUGUCCUGAUGAUACUUCCAUUGCCACUUAAUAACUGGAUGAGCUUGGGAAGCAGGACCUCACUCCCCUCCUGUCUUCCCUUCUGGCCUUCCUGGUAGCCAUAACCAUGUACAAAUACGUGACCAUGAGAUGUUCCUGCCUGAUGUCCAGUGGCUCAGGGACCACAUCUGGACCUCAUCAAGACACCAUCAGCCCAUCAUCUGAACUUACAGCGCUCAAGGCAGCACUAAAUUCUGGAGAAGUGUGAGAACUCGAACUACUGAGGUCAAAGGAAGUGACACCAAGUGGCAGAGGAGAGUAUCCCAUCCAUACUCUGGGGGAAUGAGUGCUGACAUCAUGAAGCCCCCCUUAAAAAUCCAAGAGGACUGGGUUCCUGGAGCUUCUGGAUAGAUGAAGACGUGGAGUUUUCUAGAGGAUGGUGCACCCAGGGAGGGCAUGGAAGCUCUGUGCCCCUUUCCCCAUACCUCACCCUAUGUGUCUCUUCAUCUGUAUCCUUUGCAAUAUCCUUUAUAAUAAACAAGUAAAUGUAAGUAAGUGUUUCCCUGAGUUCUGAGAGCCACUCUAGCAAAUUAAUCAAACCCAAAGAGGGGAUCAUGGGAACAACUUGAAGCCGGUCAGUCAGAAGUUCCAGAGUCCCAGACUUGAGGCUGGUGUGUGUGUGUUGAGUAGGAGAAGUCUUGGGGACUGAGCCCUCAAAUUGUGGGAUCUGACAUUAUCUCUGGUUAGAUAAUGUUGCAACUAAAUUAGAGGACACCCAGCUGGUAUCUGCUGCUUGAUGUUUGCAGAAAAAAAACCCACACAUUUGAUCACGGAAGUCUUCUGUGUUGGUUGUUAAUAUGGUGUGAGACUAGAGGGGAAAUGUGGUUAUAGAGAAUUUUCCAUCUACACCAUCUCAUAGAGCUGUUGUUGGGGUCAGCUGCUUUGGUACAUGCCAAGUGCUAAGUAUCAGCUUUCACUGUUCACAAAAUUAACAGUUUUGUAAAUGCUUUGGGUAAAAAUAAGGUGAUGAACUUUCAAAAAUGUGAAUUUCUUCUGCUUUUUAAGCAUUUAAGAAACUGUAAUAUUUGACUUCUGAUUUUAAUCAAAUGCUUAAAAGUACAAUUUUUCAACAAUUAGUAAGAAUUUACAUAAAUUUAACUAAACUCUUAGGCUUCAAAUUUCUAUUGUUUUAUUUAUUUAGAGAAUGUUUAAAGGAGCAAUCAUUAAAGGAAGGGA